This 447-nucleotide ribosomal RNA is filed under the name Rothia amarae. RNAcentral's name for it is "bacterial SSU rRNA". It matches the Rfam family "Bacterial small subunit ribosomal RNA", at positions 97 to 555 of the family's 1533-position model. The record is from RNAcentral. Lineage: Bacteria; Bacillati; Actinomycetota; Actinomycetes; Micrococcales; Micrococcaceae.
GGCGAACGGGUGAGUAAUACGUGAGUAACCUGCCUUUGACUCUGGGAUAAGCCUGGGAAACUGGGUCUAAUACCGGAUAUGACAAGGAACCGCAUGGUUUUUUGUGGAAAGGGUUUGUACUGGUUUUAGAUGGGCUCACGGCCUAUCAGCUUGUUGGUGAGGUAAUGGCUCACCAAGGCGACGACGGGUAGCCGGCCUGAGAGGGUGACCGGCCACACUGGGACUGAGACACGGCCCAGACUCCUACGGGAGGCAGCAGUGGGGAAUAUUGCACAAUGGGCGCAAGCCUGAUGCAGCGACGCCGCGUGAGGGAUGACGGCCUUCGGGUUGUAAACCUCUUUCAGCAGGGAAGAAGCGAAAGUGACGGUACCUGCAGAAGAAGCGCCGGCUAACUACGUGCCAGCAGCCGCGGUAAUACGUAGGGCGCGAGCGUUGUCCGGAAUUAUU